Molecule: non-coding RNA, 111 nt
Organism: Chloroflexi bacterium RBG_16_70_13
Lineage: Bacteria; Bacillati; Chloroflexota
Source: Rfam
AGCCUAUCGAGAGUGGUGGAGGGACCGGCCCUGCGAAGCCACGACAACCUGCCGACGGCGACGCCGGCAAGGUGCCAAGUCCGGGCAGGACAACCACCUGCGAGAUAGGGA